AUUAGAUUCAAUUUUCAAGAUUCAAGUGAAAUUUAAGAGCAAUUUAAUAGUUCAAUAAGGAGAUAUUUGUACUAGAAGUUCAACAUUUAGGUUGGAGUAAGAGGCCGCCCAAAAUCCAAUUGGAUUAUCUUACAUUUCUCUCAAUUGGUAGGUACAAUCAACUUCAUCUUUCUUGUAAUUUUUUUUAAUUAAGAUAUUAAAAAGUAUGCAAAUUUUGAGUUAAUAUCAAGAGUUUGAUCAUUAGUUGUUGAGGUUCUAUUUUGCUAUAAGAUUUAUUAAGAGUUUGUAUAAGAUCUAGGAUUUAAUUAGAAUUUGAUUUAGGAUUUGGUUAGGAUUUGGUUUAAAACUUUUCUAAGAUUUUUUUAGGAUUUAGGUUUUAGGAUUUUAUUAGGAUUUCAUUAGGAUUUGACAUAGGAUUUUAUUAAGAUUCAAUUAAGUUUUCAUUAGGAUUCGAUCUAAGAGUUAGUUAAGAUUUAAUUAAGAUUUUAAUUAAGAUUUGAUCUAAAACUUGGUUCAAAUUUAACUAAGAUUUGAAUUAAUAUUACAUUAAGAUUUUUAUUUAUAGUAUCUUUUUAAGAUUUUUUGUAUUUUUUGGGUGAUUUCUUUUAAAUUUAUUUUG
RNAcentral lists this long non-coding RNA (619 nucleotides) under Physcomitrium patens. RNAcentral describes it as "long non-coding RNA (PPAT_LNC001486)". Lineage: Eukaryota; Viridiplantae; Streptophyta; Bryopsida; Funariales; Funariaceae. The record is from RNAcentral.